This 519-nucleotide ribosomal RNA is filed under the name Enterococcus sp. RNAcentral's name for it is "bacterial SSU rRNA". It matches the Rfam family "Bacterial small subunit ribosomal RNA", at positions 79 to 585 of the family's 1533-position model. Lineage: Bacteria; Bacillati; Bacillota; Bacilli; Lactobacillales; Enterococcaceae. The record is from RNAcentral.
AUCGGAAAAAGAGGAGUGGCGAACGGGUGAGUAACACGUGGGUAACCUGCCCAUCAGAAGGGGAUAACACUUGGAAACAGGUGCUAAUACCGUAUAACAAUCGAAACCGCAUGGUUUCGAUUUGAAAGGCGCUUUCGGGUGUCGCUGAUGGAUGGACCCGCGGUGCAUUAGCUAGUUGGUGAGGUAACGGCUCACCAAGGCGACGAUGCAUAGCCGACCUGAGAGGGUGAUCGGCCACAUUGGGACUGAGACACGGCCCAAACUCCUACGGGAGGCAGCAGUAGGGAAUCUUCGGCAAUGGACGAAAGUCUGACCGAGCAACGCCGCGUGAGUGAAGAAGGUUUUCGGAUCGUAAAACUCUGUUGUUAGAGAAGAACAAGGAUGAGAGUAACUGUUCAUCCCUUGACGGUAUCUAACCAGAAAGCCACGGCUAACUACGUGCCAGCAGCCGCGGUAAUACGUAGGUGGCAAGCGUUGUCCGGAUUUAUUGGGCGUAAAGCGAGCGCAGGCGGUUUCUUA